GACGAACGCUGGCGGCGUGCCUAAUACAUGCAAGUAGGACGCAGUUGCGAACGGGUGAGUAACGCGUAGGUAACUGCCUCUUAGAGGGGGAUAACUAUUGGAAACGAUAGCUAAUACCGCAUACUAGUAGAUGGACCUGCGUUGUAUUAGCUAGUAGGUAGGGUAAUGGCCUACCUAGGCCACGAUACAUAGCCGACGUGAGAGGCUGAUCGGCCAGACUGGACCUGAGACACGGCCGGGACUCAUAAGGGAGGAAGCAGUAGGGAAUCUUCGGAAAUGGGGGGAACACUAACGGGGCAACGCCGCGUGAGUGAAGAAGGUUUGCGAAACGUAAAGCUCUGUUGUUAAGGAAGCGGUACUUAACCAGAAAGGGACGGCUAACUACGUGACAGCAGCCGCGGUAAUUC
RNAcentral lists this ribosomal RNA (407 nucleotides) under uncultured bacterium. RNAcentral describes it as "partial 16S ribosomal RNA". It matches the Rfam family "Bacterial small subunit ribosomal RNA", at positions 28 to 526 of the family's 1533-position model. The record is from RNAcentral.